This 1476-nucleotide long non-coding RNA is filed under the name Phoenix dactylifera (date palm). RNAcentral describes it as "long non-coding RNA (PDAC_LNC014553)". Lineage: Eukaryota; Viridiplantae; Streptophyta; Magnoliopsida; Arecales; Arecaceae. The record is from RNAcentral.
GAUGGAUCCGCCGUCGAAGACCACAGGUAAAGCCCUUCCCCUUCCCUUCCUCUUCUUCUUCUUCUUCUUCUUCUUCUUUUCUUUUCUUUUCUUUUGUUUUUUUUUUUGUAAUUGAUCUAUCCUCCCAUGUGGAUCGGGAGAAGGAAAUGCAGGAAAGAAAACAGGUGGUUAGGGGCUUACCUGGCUUCGGGGAUGAACUGCGACGCCCCUCUCCGGCGGCAUCAACGUGGGUUCAGAAAACCCUAUCGCUGAGGAAGGACGUUCGAAGCUUUUAUAGCCCCCGAAGAGUUAGAGGCCGCAACGGCCAAUAGGCCUGGCCCACUGGUCUAGCUGUAUGCGGGCCGGUUAAUGAACUGGGCUCUCACAUUCUUCCCCCCUUAAAAGAAAUUUUGUCUUCGAAAUUAACUUACUUGGAGCUUCAAACUUUGAAGGUAUGUAACCAUCAUAUCAUUCUCGAGCUCCAAAGUAGUCUCGCUCAGAGAGUGCUUACUCACAAAUUUUUUUUUUUUGGCAAAAUCACGGCAUCUCAAAACUUGACCCUUUCUACCUGUAACACAUAGGAGUUAUUUUGAUCUCUUCCAAAAGAAGACUAAUCUUUCAACCUUGGAUUUCAAAUACCAUAAUUGUUUGCCCAAGAAAUUAAUUGUUCAUGAUUAAUUCUGGACAGUAAUUAUAAUCGCUUAAUGCAAAUAGGUUAAAGCAUUAGCAUCAAAUACUUUUCAUAAUCUAUAAUCCUUUUUCUUCUCUUAACUUUACCCAUGAAUUAAUGAUCAACCUUUAUCCUAGAAAAAAACCUCAAACCCUUUCAUUUAGAUAGAUUGACAAUGUCAUAACUAGGAGUAGGGAAUGAAUAUUAAAGCAUUCUAGAUCUAAGCCCAACCAAGGAACUGUCAAUCCGUUAACACUAAAUUUAAGAUUCCCAAAAUUCUCCCAAGAAUAGUCAACUAUAAUAGAACCCAUUGGUGAAAAUUACAUAGCUACCUCCAAAUUAUCCAUAGAAUCAACAACAUUCUUCUCCACUAGAAAACUAACUCAAGUCUUCCAAUAAUUCUACUUAUCAAUACAACUUCAUCAUUAGAUUUUAUCGAAAGAAUAAGGUCCGAUACUUCCACAUUUAAUUCCUUUGGUAAGCGAUUUAAAUCAAGCUUUUCUCUUAUAAACAAAAAAAAAAACAACGUUUUAAUUCUGAAUAAAAACAUUAAGUUUCUUUGUCAAAAUAUCAACUUCUCUCAAUUAACCGAUCUAUCACAAGAUUAGAUCAUAAACAACUCUAAUCCACCCUUGAUAGAUAUUCAUCAAAGUUGAUUGACAACUGCAAUUUCUUUCAAUCAGAUAGAGGGUUGAUCUUAAUUGAAGAAAUUCAAGCUUUAGAUUUAGGAGGGAGGAGGUCUAUACCAAUAUAUUCCAAAUCCAAGAUCAAAAUUGAUGAUCCAUUAAUUCUAGUCAAAAGAUGCUAAGAAUUUCUUAACUCGACAU